GAAGAAAGACUAGAAGAGGAGGUGGAGAUCAGUGAUACUUGAGAAAUCUUAGUCUUAAUCAAGACACCCAAGAAUUGUAGGAAGCAUGGACAAAUAUUUUGGAAUUUCCUUCAUGAUACUGUGUUUUCAUUUGGAUUGGGCCAGCAACCAGGAUGCUGUGAAGCAGAAUGUCCUGUCCUUAAGGGUCCUGGCAGGAGAAAGUGUCGCUCUGAACUGUAGUUAUACAGUGGGUGAUCUCAGAAACUUACAGUGGUACAGACAGUAUCCUGGGAAAGACCCCAGAGCCCUGUUUAUGCUUUUUUCAUCUGGGGAGGAGAAGUGGAAAGGAAGAUUAAAAGCCUCAUUAGAUAAGAAGGAAGCUUUCAGCUCCCUGCACAUCAAUGACACUCGACCUGAAGACUCUGCCACCUACUUCUGUGCUGUUGACACACAGCGCUUCUCCAGGCACCUGAAGCCUGUAUACAAAGCUUGCCAAUGGGCCGUUGACAUCAGGGCAGAGGCAUUUGCUACAGUGAUUCUCCCCUUAAAAGAGGACUGUUGAGAUAGGCAGCUUUUAAAUUAAAUUCUCUGGGAUUGAAAGGCAGCUAGAAUUUUAAAAGUUUUGAAUUAUUCAUUCUCCUUACUAUAGCCCCUAUAUCCAAGCUAUUCCUAAUAAAAACA
This is a non-coding RNA of Sarcophilus harrisii (Tasmanian devil), 660 nucleotides long. NCBI's taxonomy places the organism in Eukaryota, Metazoa, Chordata, Mammalia, Dasyuromorphia, Dasyuridae. The record is from the annotation of a RefSeq genome assembly.